AAAUCGAAAACCACCCAGUCGUUCGGAAAGGGAAAAGUGACGCCGAUGCAAAUUGCAUUCAUCGUGGAUCGGUAUCUCAUUGACAACAACUUCCCUGAAACUCGCUCUGUCUUCAGGAAUGAGGCCUCUUCUCUCAUCUCCAAAUCUCCAGUUCAAGAGGCACCCAAGAGUUUGUUGAGUUUGGGGGCGAUGUUGAACGAGUAUAUCUCCUUGAAGGAGCAGAAAGUGAUGGUGGAUCAGGAAAGGGUCCGUUUGGAGCAAGAAAGAUUCAGGGUCCAGACCCUUCUGCAGGGCAUGCAAGAUGUAAUGAAUACUUAUAAUGCUAGUGGAAGUGCACCAGCGCCUAUGAUCCAGACCUCUACAGCAAGGCCUGCGGAUAUGGUUCCUCAACUAGGGCUCACUGGUGGAUCUGUAGCAGGCUGUCCUAUGUACACAUCGCCAACUGUUAUGCCAGUCUCUAUGCCCUCCAAUGUCAAUAAGGAGCGUGGUAAUCUAUCUUCCUCUGUCACAAAUUGCCCAUUAACGAGGAAGAGAUCAGGCUCAAAUUUUGCUGUAGAAGCCCCUCCCGUUGUUAAGAAAUCUCGGGGCAAGUUACCAUCCAGGAAAACACCAAAUAAAGGUACAUAUAAUCAAUCUGAUAAUGCAGCAACUACUCAAGAAACUGCUCAACUUGAUAAUGCAGCCACUACAAAAGAAGCAACUUGUUCAUCUGUGACUGGGUCAUCAACUCAUAACCGCACAACUAGUGGUCCGGUAGUUCAUGGAUCUACUGUUGCAAAGAGUUUGUUUAAUCAACCUUCGUUUUCCUCCCCAGCUCAUUCAACUGGCCCCAAAACACCACCACAAGCAAUUUCCUUUCACAAUGAUAAAUCUGUAUCUCCAGUUGGUAUCUCUUCCAAUGCUCACGGCAAUAACAACAAUACUCCUCAGGAGACUCCUACAAAUUGCACCGUGAUUACGUCAGAAAGAGUGAUUGUGAGCCCGUGCAAACAUGUGGCAUACACCAUGGAGAGAAACCAUUGCAUUUCUUCAUCCUCACCAGUCAAGACAACCUUCAAGAGGUUGAGUAUGAGGGAAAAUGUCAAAGGAAGGCUCGAUUUUGAUGGUUCUGAUGGGACUGCCAACUUGGAUAAACCAAUUGUUGAUGAGAUCUCAACGUCUGAGUCUGACAAGGAAGGAGAUAUUUUUGACAUUGAUUUGCCUAAUUUAGAUGCAUUUGGAGCUAACUUCUUCUCGGAAUUGUUAGUUGAUCUGGAUCUUGGCUUUGAAGGGAUAGGUUGUCCUUGCCAGCCACUCUUGGGUCCUCCUGCAGACACUGUUUCUGGGUCCUCGCAUGAAUCCAGGGAUGGUCGUUUGGGUGUUGAUCAAGUCACGUCAGAAUUUUCCUCAACUGUGACUGAGGUGAUCUCAGGAAAAGAUGUGAACAUUCAAGGUCCUGAUACUGUUACUGCUGUGAAGUCUAUAAGAAAGUGCAUCAUCUUAAGCCCUGCAAAAACCCAUAGUUCUAUGGAACAAGAGAAUCAUACGGACAGAAACUAAGAAGUUUGAAGAUUCUGGUGACACUUAACCUGACCUGGUACCAGUACAGAACUUACAGAAAGACUCUUAAUUAACCCAACAAUUUUCAAAUCCUGUAUUUGUCUUUCAUUUAGUAUCUGAUCAAUCAUUUGUGUCUUAGGUCACACUUCUAAGGUCCUAAAUUAUACCCACAAAAGCUGGGUAAGAUAACAUACGGUACACUUUCAGCACCCCAAGUAUAACAGCCUGGUUCAGCAGUGUUCCUUGUAUAUUGAUUUUAAAUUUCAAAUGUUAAACUGGUAGUUAUUCUUAUCAACAUGGAGGAUUCAAAUUGUUUAUUCAAGUGUUGUGGAAAAAAAUAGUUACCUUUCUUUUGCUAGUCAGUUGAAGUUUCUUACUUCAUCUGGCCUUCCAUAGAAAAUAUGGCAUUUUAGUGAACAAGGGGAAAAGUAGCUUUGCCUCAAGUGUAU
This 1988-nucleotide unclassified non-coding RNA is filed under the name Hevea brasiliensis (rubber tree). The record is from RNAcentral. Lineage: Eukaryota; Viridiplantae; Streptophyta; Magnoliopsida; Malpighiales; Euphorbiaceae.